AAUUCGAUGCAACGCGAAGAACCUUACCUGGUCUUGACAUCCCGGAGACCCUUAGGAAACUAGGGGGUGCUUCCAUCUGGAAGAAUCUGGAGACAGGUGCUGCAUGGCUGUCGUCAGCUCGUGUCGUGAGGAUGUUGGGUUAAGUCCCGCAACGAGCGCAACCCUUGCCUUUAGUUGCCAGCAGUUCGGCUGGGCACUCUAAAGGGACUGCCGGUGUUAAACCGGAGGAAGGUGGGGACGACGUCAAGUCCUCAUGGCCUUUAUGACCAGGGCUACACACGUACUACAAUGGCCGAUACAAAGGGCAGCGACACUGCGAGGUGAAGCCAAUCCCGUAAAAUCGGUCUCAGUCCGGAUUGGAGUCUGCAACUCGACUCCAUGAAGUUGGAAUCGCUAGUAAUCGUGGAUCAGCAUGCCACGGUGAAUACGUUCCCGGGCCUU
RNAcentral lists this ribosomal RNA (441 nucleotides) under uncultured Desulfobulbus sp. RNAcentral's name for it is "bacterial SSU rRNA". It matches the Rfam family "Bacterial small subunit ribosomal RNA", at positions 948 to 1382 of the family's 1533-position model. The record is from RNAcentral. Lineage: Bacteria; Pseudomonadati; Thermodesulfobacteriota; Desulfobulbia; Desulfobulbales; Desulfobulbaceae.